UAUCUGCUUUUCAUUAAAGUGUUUCUCCCAAGCAUCAAGCUAACUCCUAUACUUACAUUCAUUUCAAAAUUCUCAGUGCUGCUGGGCAACUGUAUACGUUGUGUAAAAAUACAUUCCUCUGUCGUCUUCUGACCCAGGAGAUACAUCGCUAACAGAUUACGAAUCGAAGAUGAAGAUCCACACCUUGACUGAGGCUGCCUUUUUUAAUGAGUUAAAGGAAAGCGCUGGACCUCUCCAGAAUGCUCUACAUGUUGCCAGAGAAGUUUUGUAACAGCUGAAGAGCUACUUUGUCAUUAAGUGGAGUAUCAGCCAUGAAACAUAGACAUAGACAUAUUAGACACAUUCAGAAUACAAAACUCCCAGCAACUAACAAUCUUAGUAAUAAUAUGAUGG
This 393-nucleotide long non-coding RNA is filed under the name Struthio camelus australis. Its description in RNAcentral is "lncRNA (ENSSCUG00000002010.1)". The record is from RNAcentral. Lineage: Eukaryota; Metazoa; Chordata; Aves; Struthioniformes; Struthionidae.